RNAcentral lists this ribosomal RNA (440 nucleotides) under uncultured bacterium. RNAcentral describes it as "bacterial SSU rRNA". It matches the Rfam family "Bacterial small subunit ribosomal RNA", at positions 958 to 1398 of the family's 1533-position model. The record is from RNAcentral.
AACGCGAAGAACCUUACCUGGGCUCGAAAUGGAGUGGACCGGAGUAGAAAUAUUCCUUCCCCGCAAGGGGCUGCUCUAUAGGUGCUGCAUGGCUGUCGUCAGCUCGUGUCGUGAGAUGUUGGGUUAAGUCCCGCAACGAGCGCAACCCUCGCCCUUAGUUGCUAGUCCGCAAGGACGCACUCUAGGGGGACUGCCACGGAUAACGUGGAGGAAGGUGAGGAUGACGUCAAGUCCUCAUGGCCUUUAUGUCCAGGGCUACACACGUGCUACAAUGGCUAGUACAAUCCGUCGCCAACCCGCAAGGGGGAGCCAAUCGGACAAAGCUGGCCUCAGUUCGGAUUGCAGUCUGCAACUCGGCUGCAUGAAGCUGGAAUCGCUAGUAAUGGCAGAUCAGCAUGCUGCCGUGAAUACGUUCCCGGGCCUUGUACACACCGCGCAUA